AAAAGUUCAUUCGUACUUUUCCUGUUUGCCAUUUUUCAUGAUCCUUACCCUAGUUUUUUUCUAGGGUUUCGAAAUUGCAAAAGGCCUAUUGAAGGGGUAAAUUAUAAAUCUGGAAAAGGCUUGUCACCUAAGUCUGAAUCGUUGUGGGAAAUCCGAAAUCGUACAGAUUUAAUCACUCAACCUUCUGCUACUUCUUUUACUGGCGGCUAUCUACUUGCCGAGAGGUCAUAUCCACUAGCUGUUCACCCAAGAUUGAGUUUGAUCAGAAUUUUAGGUAUGAUAUAUUUCUUACUCCUCUUAUUAUGUUUUAUUUUAUUUGUUUAUUUAUCAAUUUCUGGAUUUUAAUGCUCUAUAAGUUUAUAUUACCUAGAUAUUUAGUUCUAAUGCUCUUAUUAUGUUUUUUUUUAUUUGUUUACUUAUCAAUUUAUGGAUUUUAAUACUUUUAUUAUGUUUUAUUUUAUUUGUUUAUUUAUCAAUUUCUGGAUUUUAAUGCUCUAUAAGUUUGUAUUACCUAGAUAUUUAGUUCUAAUGCUCUCCAUCAUGGAUCUAUCAUGAUUAUGCAUAUUUUUUUGUUUUCCUUCUUGUGUACCUCCUGUUUAUAUGGGUCGUACCCUUGUUUUGGCGCCUUUUAAUGAUAUUUUACCACUUCCCCCCUCCCUACCAAAAAAAGAGAGAGCCUAUGCAUCAAGUACAUAUAUUUUGUUUUGCAGAUAUUUUUUUUUAAAGGACCAUUUUUUUUUACCAGUAAUUGGCCCUGCAUGUGUUUUGUUUAAUUUAUCCAGAGACAGCCUCAUCACUUUGUUCUCUCAUUUACCAAAAUUUGUUAGAUAAAUGAAAAUUCUUUCUCCACAAAGGGAGUGGAAUGAAAAUUAAAUUUGAUUAUACAAUUUUUGAAAAUAUAAUUCACUGGAGGCUGGGGAUUGAUGGAUGAAACAAUUCUGAAAACGCUGUUCAUGACACAUUUUAUUCGUUUGUGACUUUUUUAAAUGUGUCAAUUAUGUGUGCAUGAGCUGGUUAUCACUACAAGAAACAUGCUCAAAAGAUUGUACUUGAUGCAUAGGUUCUCUUUUUUUUUUAAAUGUGUCAAUUAUGUGUAAUCUCCAAACAAACAUGCUCAAAAGAUUGAAACAGGGAAUAGAGCAAGUUAUAACAAUCUCAGAUCACAAGUAGGCUUGAAAUAUCUUAAACCCUAGUCUUCAGUUAAAUCACCUGAAACUUGAGUUAAUUCUGGUUCUUACAGCUUCACAUACUCAUAAUGCACUAACUUAAUUAGAUACUCUAGUUCUUUCAACAAGAGACAUAGUUGUAGUGCACAAUAAGUGCUAGGACAGAACUGACAUCAGUUUUACACUUGAAUUCUACAGUAGUGAGAAUAAGCAGGUGUAUCUGCAAUGUAGGUGAAAGUAGGCCUUGAUUCAAGUUCCUACAACACUAAAUAAAUGAAACUUGUUCAGAAUGAUACUCUUCAGUGUAUAGUAAGUUUACUUCAAAUUGCAGCUCAAAAUAAGUCACAACAAAGUUUGAGCUGAAACUUUGUUCUUAGGGACUAAAUCGUAAUUUUACUUCCUUACAGCCUUGAACUUGAUUCCAAACACCUCAAUCCAGUUAUAUAUAUAUGCUCAGAAGGUAAUCACAACAAAGCUAGCAAUAUGAAUCAACUAGAAUGAGUUUAAAACUUUAUGUAGGCUAUUUUAUUCAAUAAGGCUGUUUUGUUUGGUUUGAGAGUUCAAAACCAAAUACACUCAAUUUUCAGUCUUGAUCUUUGUCAACAGAGCUCUAUAAUGAUUAAAUAUACUUGUUCAAAGCAUAAACUCAACACAUACAAGAAGUAAUCAACAUAAAACAGUCCAUUAGAGGCUAUGCACCAGAAAAGUAAGCUGAACUGAGAUAUGAGUACUCAUAUUGUUUUUCUGUGCAAAAUUAGGCAUAUACCUGAGUUCUGCAGAUGUAAAUAAAUGCACCAAGCUUGCUUCAACCAUCACACAGCACUUGGAACCUCUACAACCAAUUUUGACCCUUUAAUCCAGCCUCAACAUCAACAUAAAUGCAUCAGAAAAAUCUGGUUCACAGGUUUAGAAAUUCUUCAGUGGAUUAGUGCACUCUCAUAGUGAUUUCAUAGAUUAAAUUAGCUCAGAACUUCAAUUAAUCUCUCUGAAAGUGACUCAUAUUUUCAAUUCUCGAGCCUCACACUCAAUGCAGCUCAAUAUAUAAAAAGAGGCUCAAUAUUUGCACACAUAGGUGCUGCUCUAUAACAGUAUAUUUAUACACUGAAUUUGCUGCCCUAGUGUGAAUAAGAAUAUUCCCCAUUUAACCAAUCAUAGAUAGGAAUAUAUACAGAAAUUAUAUACCAUGAAUGGACCAAACAAUCCCUGUACAAGCCUAGCUUGUGUCACACCAACCACUUUUUCUGCAGCCCUCACAGGUCAAUGAACAAUGCUGAAAUAUAUAGCAAAGAAUUGUAUUUCUGUGCAUAUUUUUCUCUCACCAGGACCAAUGUGCACGUGGCACAUUGUUGUGAACCCUUUAACAGCCUUGAGAUAUCAAUGAAGUACCAGAAUUGCCCUUGGAAUGAUACACUUUGUGUAUACAAGCUAAAUGAUGAUAUUCAGCAAAUUUUUCUGAAGCAAAGAUACAAUGCACCUUCAGAAAAUGUUUCCAAUCAUACACUGCAGUUUAGAUUGAUCAAAAUACCCCUAAGGAUGCAGCUGAGAUUACAUAAUUGCCCUUCACUAAUGACACUUGUCACUUUAAACCAGAUGAUACUUACUGCAGCCCUUGAAAGUGACCAGAUGAUGCUUGUUGCAGCCCUUGAAUUUGUGAUUCAACCUUUAAUAUAAUAUCUGUAGUGCAAUGUAGUAUCAAAGAUAAGUGUAGCAAUAUUGCUCCCAUGUAUAGAAAGACUAAUAUGCCCGUGUUAAGACUUGUAUUCAAGAACAAACCUUAAGAUAGGUGAUACCAUUUAGCCUCAAGAUUAGUAUUUUUCAUUCAAAGAGAAAACCAGAUCAACAGAAUUCCACAGGAAAAUAGUAAGUCAAGAAAGGCAAAACACAGAAGAUGAGGAAGUUGAAAGUCCUGAGGAGGGUCCUGCUAUUCGCAUGUACAAGGACACGCAUUUUUUGGAAGAAACUGGAUGGGUAAACAAGAGAGCUAAGCAGAACUACGAUGAAAUGAAACAGAAGUUUUCACAAGUUUUUCACAAUUCUGAUGGUAACAGUCCUGUCAUAAAUGAUGUUAAGAUAGUGGAAAACCAAUUAGGUAUCAGAAAGGGAUAUCGUCGUGGGUUCGGAAAUGGUUUUGUAGCUCCAAGCCAUCAACGUGCAUCCUCAUCUUUUGAAGAGGCUUCUAGCAAAAGGGUAAAAAAUGUUGAAGAAGAUAAUGCACAACUUAGGGAGAAAGUUACAAAUUUGGAGGAGAAGUUGGAUACAUUUCAGCACCUCCUUGAGCAGCAAUAGCAAAUCCUUCAGCAGCAGCAACAACAACUCCAACAACUCCUUGAGCAGCAACAACAGAACUAACAACCGCCACCACGAUUCCACCAACAGCAGCAAGCCCCACCAAGCUAGUAUCAGCAGCCGCCAACAUGGUGGCAAUUUCAUCACCACCACAACAGUCACCUGAAUGAACUAUAAAGAUAAUUAUUUUGGUAGAUAUAUUUUGGAGCUUUUUGAUGGCUAGCUAGCUGAUUUCUAACUAUUUUGGUAGUGUAUUUUUUUCCCUGCAUUUUCAUGAUUGCAUUCAGUUUAAAAUGAUGUUUUAAUUUUUAAGGAUGUUUGGAACCAUUUGAUGUUAAAGCAGCUAGUAGAUACUUUUAGCUCUUCUUUACAAAACUGGAGAAUUUGUAGUUUCAUCAUGAGACUAAGAGCUUGUUUGUUGGCACCGUAUUAUGGUGGUAAUUUAUUUAUUUCUUUCUAAAA
Cornus florida is the source of this 3914-nucleotide long non-coding RNA. RefSeq lists it as uncharacterized. NCBI's taxonomy places the organism in Eukaryota, Viridiplantae, Streptophyta, Magnoliopsida, Cornales, Cornaceae. The transcript has 4 exons. The record is from RefSeq and is a predicted model, not a curated record.